Molecule: ribosomal RNA, 557 nt
Filed under: Salmonella enterica subsp. enterica serovar Berta
Lineage: Bacteria; Pseudomonadati; Pseudomonadota; Gammaproteobacteria; Enterobacterales; Enterobacteriaceae
Also listed under: 1 other name
Description: partial 23S ribosomal RNA
Rfam family: Bacterial large subunit ribosomal RNA
Source: RNAcentral
AUUCUGUAGCAAGGUUAACCGUAUAGGGGAGCCGGAGGGAAACCGAGUCUUAAUUGGGCGUUAAGUUGCAGGGUAUAGACCCGAAACCCGGUGAUCUAGCCAUGGGCAGGUUGAAGGUUGGGUAACACUAACUGGAGGACCGAACCGACUAAUGUUGAAAAAUUAGCGGAUGACCUGUGGCUGGGGGUGAAAGGCCAAUCAAACCGGGAGAUAGCUGGUUCUCCCCGAAAGCUAUUUAGGUAGCGCCUCGUGAAUUCAUCUCCGGGGGUAGAGCACUGUUUCGGCUAGGGGGCCAUCCCGGCUUACCAACCCGAUGCAAACUGCGAAUACCGGAGAAUGUUAUCACGGGAGACACACGGCGGGUGCUAACGUCCGUCGUGAAGAGGGAAACAACCCAGACCGCCAGCUAAGGUCCCAAAGUCAUGGUUAAGUGGGAAACGAUGUGGGAAGGCCCAGACAGCCAGGAUGUUGGCUUAGAAGCAGCCAUCAUUUAAAGAAAGCGUAAUAGCUCACUGGUCGAGUCGGCCUGCGCGGAAGAUGUAACGGGGCUAAACCAU